This 266-nucleotide unclassified non-coding RNA is filed under the name Hevea brasiliensis (rubber tree). The record is from RNAcentral. Lineage: Eukaryota; Viridiplantae; Streptophyta; Magnoliopsida; Malpighiales; Euphorbiaceae.
GGUUCCUAUGGCACAAUACUAUGCUUAUGUUUCCAAGAAAUAGGUAAUACUUAGUUUGUUAACUUGCCUCUCAAAUUAUUUCGUUUUAAGUUUCAGACUUGGCGACUUUUUGUACAAAUGUUAAUCUUGAACUGGUCAAUGAGAACCUUGCAAUCGGGGGAUAAGAUCAAAUUUUCUGUUUGUGUUGAUAAAAUGUGUAUUAGAUAAAAACCAUGAAAAUUGGGUUACAGUUGUUGCAUUUCUGCAACAUGGAGCUUUUGCUUCAU